This is a regulatory RNA element of Aerococcus urinae, 83 nucleotides long. Lineage: Bacteria; Bacillati; Bacillota; Bacilli; Lactobacillales; Aerococcaceae. The record is from Rfam.
CCAGAACUGCAACCGCGCAUCGAUAAGUUGAAGAAUCAAGUAUGAUUAUUUGAUCACUUAUCUUGGCGAGUCUAAGUAAUUAU